UUUUUAGUCACAUUUUGAUCAGCAUGAACCUUUUUACCAAUCAAAAUUUAUUUCAAAGUUUGAUCAGAGCAUGUAUGUUUUUGGGAAGUUUAUUUCACACUGAUCAUUAUGGUGCACUCGAUUUAAUUUUUUGAAUUUUUAUUUAUAAUCAGUUAUUUUAUUUUUAUUCUUUUGCCAUAGUAUUUAAAAAAAUUAAAUAGAACUUUU
RNAcentral lists this long non-coding RNA (207 nucleotides) under Lathyrus oleraceus (garden pea). RNAcentral describes it as "Pisum sativum (pea) long non-coding RNA (PSAT_LNC032141)". The record is from RNAcentral. Lineage: Eukaryota; Viridiplantae; Streptophyta; Magnoliopsida; Fabales; Fabaceae.